AGAUUGCAGGUUGGAGUCUGUGUGGAAGGCGGUGUCCAAGUCCCUUGGAACAGGGCGCCCAGGAGGGUGAGAGCCCCGUGGGAUGCCGGCGGAAGCAGUGAGGCCCUUCUGACGAGUCGAGUUGUUUGGGAAUGCAGCUCCAAGCGGGUGGUAAAUUCCAUCUAAGGCUAAAUACUGGCGAGAGACCGAUAGCGAACAAGUACUGUGAAGGAAAGAUGAAAAGCACUUUGAAAAGAGAGUGAAACAGCACGUGAAAUUGUUGAAAGGGAAGGGUAUUGCGCCCGACAUGGGGAUUGCGCACCGCUGCCUCUCGUGGGCGGCGCUCUGGGCUUUCCCUGGGCCAGCAUCGGUUCUUGCUGCAGGAGAAGGGGUUCUGGAACGUGGCUCUUCGGAGUGUUAUAGCCAGGGCCAGAUGCUGCGUGCGGGGACCGAGGACUGCGGCACU
Molecule: ribosomal RNA, 445 nt
Filed under: Pichia kudriavzevii
Lineage: Eukaryota; Fungi; Ascomycota; Pichiomycetes; Pichiales; Pichiaceae
Description: partial large subunit ribosomal RNA
Rfam family: Eukaryotic large subunit ribosomal RNA
Source: RNAcentral